UCUUGCAACUAAAGAUGGCGACCGGCGCACGGUGAGUAACACGUAUCCAACCUGCCGAUAACUCGGGGAUAGCCUUUCGAAAGAAAGAUUAAUAUCCGAUAGUAUAUUAAAACCGCAUGGUUUUACUAUUAAAGAAUUUCGGUUAUCGAUGGGGAUGCGUCCAUAGUUGUUGGCGGGGUAACGGCCCACCAAGACUACGAUGGAUAGGGGUUCUGAGAGGAAGGUCCCCCACAUUGGAACUGAGACACGGUCCAA
Molecule: ribosomal RNA, 255 nt
Filed under: uncultured bacterium
Lineage: Bacteria
Description: partial 16S ribosomal RNA
Rfam family: Bacterial small subunit ribosomal RNA
Source: RNAcentral